AGACGGACCCAACCAGUGUUCCCCAGCUGGCCUGGCAGUUUGUCCCCGUUCAGAAGGUGGUCAACCCCGUCCUGGCAUUCUGCAGAGGAGACACCGUACACUUCCUGCUGGUGAAGAAGGAUGAGACCGAAACCAUCCAUGUCAUCAAGCAAAGACAUCUGCAGCUGAACUGUGACAUCAUCAGUCUGAAUUGGAUCAACAGUCGUACCCUGGUGGUGAUGGACAGUGGGGGAG
This is a long non-coding RNA of Oncorhynchus keta (chum salmon), 234 nucleotides long. RefSeq lists it as uncharacterized. The record is from RefSeq and is a predicted model, not a curated record. The transcript has 3 exons. Lineage: Eukaryota; Metazoa; Chordata; Actinopteri; Salmoniformes; Salmonidae.